CAUCACUACGCUAGAUGCAUAUCAAUAAGCGGAGGAAAAGAAACUAACAAGGAUUCCCCUAGUAACGGCGAGUGAAGCGGGAAGAGCUCAAAUUUGAAAUCUUAAAGGGUUUUCCUUUUACGAAUUGUAGUUUAAAGAAGUGUUUUCUGUUGAAGUUUUGGUACAAGUUCUUUGGAAUAGGACAUCAUAGAGGGUGAGAAUCCCGUAUUUGACCUUAAUUUUUCAACUUUGUGAUACACUUUCAAAGAGUCGGAUUGUUUGGGAAUGCUAGUCCAAAAUGGGUGGUAAAUUUCAUCUAAGGCUAAAUAUUGGCGAGAGACCGAUAGCGAACAAGUACCGUGAGGGAAAGAUGAAAAGAACUUUGAAAAGAGAGUUAAAUAGUACGUGAAAUUGUCAAAAGGGAAGCGUUUGGCACCAGUGUUGUUUUUCUAAAAAUCAAUUUAAAAUUUGCUUAUGUUGAGUGUUUUAGACUUAAUCGGCUAUACAUUUAAUUCUUUGUAAAUUUUGAAUGCACUUUUUAGUUAACAAGUCAACAUCAAUUUUUUUUGCUGUAAAAAAGUAAGAGGAAGGUGGCUUGGGAUUCGCUUCAAGUGUUUAUAGCCUCUUGCCCAUGCAGUAGGAAGAGAUUGAGGUCUGCAGCAUAGAUCCUUCGGGGCUAGAUGCUUUUGUGCUAGAAGCUAGUAUUAUAUAGACAACUUGUUGAUUAUGUAAUAUAUUAGUUUCUACUCGCUAAGUUAUUUUACCUACGCUUAGGAUGUUGACUGAUAUGUAGUCGUA
RNAcentral lists this ribosomal RNA (777 nucleotides) under uncultured Neocallimastigales. Its description in RNAcentral is "partial large subunit ribosomal RNA". It matches the Rfam family "Eukaryotic large subunit ribosomal RNA", at positions 20 to 644 of the family's 3401-position model. The record is from RNAcentral. Lineage: Eukaryota; Fungi; Neocallimastigomycota; Neocallimastigomycetes; Neocallimastigales.